GGGAAAGGAGAGUCUGGCUGGGAAGAGAAUAUCUAUUAUCUGGCCCCAAAGAGACCUAGCCUGGGCUGCGGAUCGCUGCUGCAGGGCCCUUCCCCUCACCUGCCAGGAUGCUUCAUACCAAAAACAUCCCAGAAAGCAGGCUCAGAGAGGUGACGUGGGGCCCACGGGGAGAAGGCUGGAGCCUAGGAAUAUUUAGUGCCACAACAGUGCUUCUGGAAUGUGAAUAACCCAGACAACAACUGCAACUGCAGGGGACAACUUUGGGAGACAGGAAAGGGCCUUCUGAGACCAAGACAAGAAACCUCUUGGUCAGAUCCUCUCUCUGUCCUCAGCCCUUUCCCAGGCAAGUCCAUCCAGACUGUCCCCGAGUGGACCCCCUCCCUGGGUAGUGCAGAGGUCCUCCAUGUGCAAGGAGGGACACCCCCAGGGCAUUCUGGCCUGUCCCCACCAUCAGGACAACCCUUUCACUUCUCCCUUGGCCCCAAUCCAGCCAGGCUGCCUUGGGCCCUCCUGGUGGGCUCAAGUAAAGGGAAAUGGGGGUUCAGAAGUGUGGGAGGAGCAGUGCCCUGCAAGGCACAGAGCCCACACCCUCUGGAGCUCCUCAGUCAGCUCUGCGAGUCAGGAUCUGCAGAGCGACUGACAGCCAGAGCAUGUCCUGAUGAGCAGGAUGCACCCAGGACGAAGGGAGUCAGCGGAAGCCGCCUCCUUUUCAUCCCAUGGCCACCAAGCAGAGAGGAGCACCCUGGGAUCUCUGCCAUCUUCAGCCCCCCGGGGAGGCGGAGGGAGACCGGGAGCCCUGUGGAGCCAGCUCAGCCCUCUCGUCGCCUCUAGACCUCAGCCCUGCCAGGCCUCCUCUCCACCACACUGGGAGCCUGCCUUCGGGUUAGAUCAGUGCAGAGACGCCUUCUUGGAUCUUCGCAGAGACUCACUAGCCACAUCAGCCUCUCCAUCCGAAGUUCUCCAUUUAUGUGGAGAUGAGGACACUGCAGACCAGAGAGGUUACAUGACCUGCUCAGUGUUACACAGCACAUUUGAGCAUUAGCCCCCAAGUCCCCA
This 1056-nucleotide long non-coding RNA is filed under the name Equus asinus (donkey). RNAcentral describes it as "lncRNA (ENSEASG00005032706.1)". The record is from RNAcentral. Lineage: Eukaryota; Metazoa; Chordata; Mammalia; Perissodactyla; Equidae.